GCUUGUGUUCAGCUCUAUCCCCAGAACUUGGCUUUCCUUCAGAGGUGCCAAGAAGCUGAGACUGUGGAAUCUUAGCCAACACUGCUUGAGGAAAGAAUGGGAAGAGGAGUAUUGUGAGAUGUCUCAGCUGGUAUGCCAGGGAAGAGUUGGUGUCAUGGUGACAUUGAGCAAGAGGCUGAAGAAGAAGCCAUGACUCAGGCUCCUGAAUUGCUGAACAUGUACUAUAUUCUAGGGAUUACAGUAGUCUCGUGUGUGCUGCUGCUUUGGGUAAUUGUGUGUUGCAUAGCCAUGUCAUGGCUGCUGGAGAAAGACAAGUGAGUUGGCUUUUCACUGCAGUUAUUUAUUGCUGGCUUGACAAAGCAACUGCUGGCAGUACUCUGCUGAGAUUUCCCCAGUGCAGUCCUUUAACUGUCCUCUUAAUUAAUAUCAAUGAGUAGUCUUUUCUGAAAUGUAUUUGCACAGGGUGCCCCAGAGAUGUGGAGCAGCACUGGGACAAGCUGAUACUGGCUGUCUGGAAAAGCCAAGAUCAAAGAAGAGGUAGAGGUGAGGCAGAGUCAGAAGGACCAGGAUGCAGAUCUCCCAACUCUGCCCACUUGUUUCAGCUGCUCUCUGGCUGGUGCUGCCUCUUCACAGGCUACUGGGUAUCUGUGGAUUCACCUCAUCCCACAUCAUCCCAGUGUCCCAGUAUCAACAGGGAUAUUGUGCCUCGGAAGACUAUCAUUUUUUCAAUGAAUAAUAUAUAUUUUUCUUUUUUUUGCUAAAGAAGUGAGUUCUUGGCUGUUUUGGCUGUUUCUGUUUGGGUAAAAAGCACAGAGCUGGUGUGUGUCUGUGAGAGAGGCUGUCAGAGACUUGCACUGCAGCGUGGGACACCUCUGUAUCAGCAUCAGUCUGUUUUCUUCACUAGGGCCAUCAUCAAGGCUUCCCUCCACCAGAAUGGAGACUUGCUGGUGACACAUGAGGUGCAAAGGCUUGUCCAUGAGCUUACUUGAGAUGUUGCCCUGAAUCAGGAUUGUCUGGGUAGAGAGGGAAGGAGGGAUAGACACCCAGUGCUGAGCACAUCAAGGAGGGCUGAUGGGGUAACAGAGGCUGCAGAUGCAGCAGUGUCCCCCACCCCAGAGCUCGGAGAUGAUAAAUGAGUGGAAAGUUGGAGCAGGGCUGGGUGGGAGAGCAGAGAGA
Molecule: long non-coding RNA, 1176 nt
Filed under: Ficedula albicollis (Collared flycatcher)
Lineage: Eukaryota; Metazoa; Chordata; Aves; Passeriformes; Muscicapidae
Description: lncRNA (ENSFALG00000023891.1)
Source: RNAcentral